RNAcentral lists this ribosomal RNA (491 nucleotides) under uncultured bacterium. RNAcentral's name for it is "bacterial SSU rRNA". It matches the Rfam family "Bacterial small subunit ribosomal RNA", at positions 29 to 513 of the family's 1533-position model. The record is from RNAcentral.
AACGAACGCUGGCGGCGCGCCUAAUACAUGCAAGUCGAGCGAGAAGGUGUAGCAAUACACUUGUAAAGCGGCGAACGGGUGAGGAAUACAUGGGUAAUCUACCAUCGAGUGGGGAAUAACCAGCCGAAAGGUUGGCUAAUACCGCGUACGCUUCCGAGUCUUCGGGCUUGGAAGGAAAGCCGCACUGUGAGUGCGGCGCUCUUUGAUGAGCUCAUGUCCUAUCAGCUUGUUGGUAGGGUAACGGCCUACCAAGGCUUUGACGGGUAGCUGGUCUGAGAGGACGAUCAGCCACACUGGCACUGCGACACGGGCCAGACUCCUACGGGAGGCAGCAGUAAGGAAUAUUGCGCAAUGGGCGAAAGCCUGACGCAGCGACGCCGCGUGGGGGAUGAAGGUCUUCGAAUUGUAAACCCCUUUCGGGAGGGAAGAUGGAGCGAGCAAUCGUUCGGACGGUACCUCCAGAAGCAGCCACGGCCAACUUCGUGCCAGCA